AGGGUUUGAUCCUGGCUCAGAACGAACGCUGGCGGCGUGGAUUAGGCAUGCAAGUCGAGCGCGAACGUGGCUUCGGCCACUAGUAGAGCGGCACAAGGGUGAGUAACACAUGGACAACUUGCCCUCGAGACUGGAAUAACGGUGGGAAACCGCCGCUAAUGCCGGAUGGCCCUGCGACACGGCAUCGUGUUGUAGGUAAAGGUGGGGAUCUUCGGACCUGCCGCUCGAGGAGAGGUUCAUGCACUAUCAGCUAGUUGGUGAGGUAACGGCUCACCAAGGCGACGACGGUUAGGCGACCUGAGAGGGUGACCGCCCACACUGGGACUGAGACACUGCCCAGACUCCUACGGGAGGCUGCAGUCGAGAAUCUUCCGCAAUGGACGAAAGUCUGACGGAGCGACGCCGCGUGCGGGAUGAAGGGCUUUGGCUUGUAAACCGCUGUCAGGUGUUAGGAACGCGUAACGGCUAAUAACCGUUGCGUUGACAAAAGCACCAAAGGAAGCCACGGCUAACUCUGUGCCAGCAGCCGCGGUAAUACAGAGGUGGCAAGCGUUGUUCGGUAUCACUGGGCUUAAAGGGCGCGUAGGCGGCGCGGUACGGUCUGGGUGAAAUCCCUCGGCUCAACCGAGGAAUUGCCUGGGCAACGGCCGUGCUAGACAGCAUCAGGGGAAGGUGGAACUCGCGGUGGAGCGGUGAAAUGCGUAGAUAUCGCGAGGAACGCCGGUGGCGAAAGCGACCUUCUGGGGUGCUUGUGACGCUGAGGCGCGAAAGCUAGGGGAGCGAACGGGAUUAGAUACCCCGGUAGUCCUAGCCCUAAACGAUGUGCACUAGGUAGUGGGUCGUUCCGACGACCCGCUGCCGGAGCAAAAGUUUUAAGUGCACCGCCUGGGGACUACGGUCGCAAGACUAAAACUCAAAGGAAUUGACGGGGGCUCACACAAGCGGUGGAGGAUGUUGCUUAAUUCGAAGCAACGCGAAGAACCUUACCAGGACUUGACAUGCUAGUAGUACGGACUGGAAACAGCGAGGACCCAUUUAUUUGGGAGCUAGCACAGGUGUUGCAUGGCUGUCGUCAGCUCGUGCCGUGAGGUGUUGGGUUAAGUCCCGUAACGAGCGAAACCCCUGCCAAUAGUUGCCAGCGAGUAAAGUCGGGGACUCUAUUGGGACUGCCCGUGUCAAGCGGGAGGAAGGUGGGGAUGACGUCAAGUCAUCAUGGCCCUUACGUCCUGGGCUGCAAACGU
Molecule: ribosomal RNA, 1241 nt
Filed under: metagenome
Description: bacterial SSU rRNA
Rfam family: Bacterial small subunit ribosomal RNA
Source: RNAcentral